AUACGUAGGUGGCGAGCGUUGUCCGGAAUUAUUGGGCGUAAAGAGCAUGUAGGCGGCUUAAUAAGUCGAGCGUGAAAAUGCGGGGCUCAACCCCGUAUGGCGCUGGAAACUGUUAGGCUUGAGUGCAGGAGAGGAAAGGGGAAUUCCCAGUGUAGCGGUGAAAUGCGUAGAUAUUGGGAGGAACACCAGUGGCGAAGGCGCCUUUCUGGACUGUGUCUGACGCUGAGAUGCGAAAGCCAGGGUAGCGAACGGGAUUAGAUACCCCGGUAGUCCUGGCCGUAAACGAUGGGUACUAGGUGUAGGAGGUAUCGACCCCUUCUGUGCCGGAGUUAACGCAAUAAGUAUUCCGCCUGGGGAGUACGGCCGCAAGGUUGAAACUCAAAUGAAUUGACGGGG
Molecule: ribosomal RNA, 396 nt
Filed under: uncultured bacterium
Lineage: Bacteria
Description: partial 16S ribosomal RNA
Rfam family: Bacterial small subunit ribosomal RNA
Source: RNAcentral